RNAcentral lists this ribosomal RNA (497 nucleotides) under uncultured bacterium. Its description in RNAcentral is "partial 16S ribosomal RNA". It matches the Rfam family "Bacterial small subunit ribosomal RNA", at positions 28 to 507 of the family's 1533-position model. The record is from RNAcentral.
GAUGAACGCUGGCGGCGUGCCUAAUACAUGCAAGUCGAGCGAACAGAUGAGGAGCUUGCUCCUCUGACGUUAGCGGAGGACGGGUGAGUAACACGUGGAUAACCUCCCUAUAAGACUGGGAUAACUUCGGGAAACCGGAGCUAAUACCGGAUAAUCUAUUGAACCGCAUGGUUCAAUAGUGAAAGACGGUUUUGCUGUCACUUAUAGAUGGUUCCGCGCCGCAUUAGCUAGUUGGUAAGGUCACGGCUUACCAAGGCAACGAUGCGUAGACGACCUGAGAGGGUGAUCGGCCACACUGGAACGUGGCCACGGUCCAGACGCCUACGGUAGGGAGCAGUAGGGAAUCGUCCGCAAUGGGCGAAAGCCUGACGCAGCAACGCGGCGUGAGUGAUGAAGAUCUUCGGAUCGUAAAACUCUGUUAUGAGUGAAGAACAAAUGUGUAAUUAACUAUGCACGUCUUGACGGUACCGAAUCAGAAAGCCACGGCUAACUACGUG